UGGAAUUUCAGAGUUCUAAAAUGAACCUAAAAAGUUACUUCAGCAUCCUUAGAAAUAAGUUGUUAAGGCAUGAACAUUUGAGUUCAUCCAAAGUGUUAUCAAAAGGUCUCAUCAAAUUAUUUUAUGUAGAAGAGCACCCAAAUGUUAUUUCUUGCUGUUCCUCUUCUUUUCCUCAAGAGAAAGAAGGUUGAAAACUGAAAAUGAUGAAGUUGAAGAAUGAAGUCAAUGAGUGUUAAGAAGAGAUUCAUUUAUCCUUGAAAAAUGAAAAAGUAGAGUGCUGGUGGUGAUCAUGUCUUCCCUUCACCCAUGGGGACUUUUCAUUUAUCGCUGCCACUCCAGCAUGUUCACUAUUCUCUGUAGCAUGAAAAUCUGAUAAAGCUCAUGAGGGGAGAGAAAACUUAACUUCAAUAUUUUCCUGCUGAGCCUGAGAGUGCUUUGUAUACCCUAGCAAGAUGAAAAUCUUAGCUGCAGCAUCAGGAAGAGGACACCUCACUUUAUCCUACAUUCCUAUCUCAGUCAGGAAAGUAGCUCUAGAGAAGGAACUAAGAAGUCAAGCUGUCCUGCUGUAUUAGUUGUUUACCCCACCUCCCUGAAGCAAGAGGAAAUUUUGCCAGCAGACUGCCUUCUGUCUUGAACUGCAAAAUCAGCUCUUCCCUAGGCCUGUCCCCAGGCCCUUCCUGACUGCUAGCAGACUGGAACUACAGAUUUUGGACUUGUCAACCUCCAUAGUUG
This 732-nucleotide long non-coding RNA is filed under the name Homo sapiens (human). Its description in RNAcentral is "HSALNT0369329". Lineage: Eukaryota; Metazoa; Chordata; Mammalia; Primates; Hominidae. The record is from RNAcentral.